RNAcentral lists this ribosomal RNA (608 nucleotides) under Burkholderia sp. DF5MM3. Its description in RNAcentral is "bacterial SSU rRNA". It matches the Rfam family "Bacterial small subunit ribosomal RNA", at positions 889 to 1504 of the family's 1533-position model. The record is from RNAcentral. Lineage: Bacteria; Pseudomonadati; Pseudomonadota; Betaproteobacteria; Burkholderiales; Burkholderiaceae.
CAAGAUUAAAACUCAAAGGAAUUGACGGGGACCCGCACAGCGGUGGAUGAUGUGGAUUAUUCUAUGCACGCGAAAAACCUUACCUACCCUUGACAUGUACGGAAUCCUGCUGAGAGGUGGGAGUGCCCGAAAGGGAGCCGUAACACAGGUGCUGCAUGGCUGUCGUCAGCUCGUGUCGUGGUGUUGGGUUAAGUCCCGCAACGAGCGCAACCCUUGUCCCUAGUUGCUACGCAAGAGCACUCCAGGGAGACUGCCGGUGACAAACCGGAGGAAGGUGGGGAUGACGUCAAGUCCUCAUGGCCCUUAUGGGUAGGGCUUCACACGUCAUACAAUGGUCGGAACAGAGGGUCGCCAACCCGCAAGGGGGAGCCAAUCCCAGAAAACCGAUCGUAGUCCGGAUCGCAGUCUGCAACUCGACUGCGUGAAGCUGGAAUCGCUAGUAAUCGCGGAUCAGCAUGCCGCGGUGAAUACGUUCCCGGGUCUUGUACACACCGCCCGUCACACCAUGGGAGUGGGUUUUACCAGAAGUGGCUAGUCUAACCGCAAGGAGGACGGUCACCACGGGUAGGAUUCAUGACUGGGGGUGAAGUCGUAACAAGGUAACCGUA